Tupaia belangeri chinensis (Chinese tree shrew) is the source of this 2165-nucleotide long non-coding RNA. RefSeq lists it as uncharacterized. NCBI's taxonomy places the organism in Eukaryota, Metazoa, Chordata, Mammalia, Scandentia, Tupaiidae. The record is from RefSeq and is a predicted model, not a curated record. The transcript has 9 exons.
GACUCCUUCUGGGCUGGCUUCCCUGAAACGAGAGCAGCCCAGCCAGCUUGGUGAGUUCAGGGAUCAAGCCCCGCGCCCGCUCAUCCUCUGUCCAAGGUCACCGCCAGCUCCACCCGCUCGCCCAGGCAGAAAGUACCCACACAGUCCUCCGUGACCUCAUCCUCAAGCAUCUCUCUGGCAGCUCCGGGUCCGAAGGUGCUCCUUGCCCAGUGCCUGCUGACCACCCGCUUCUCCUGCAGAAUAAGGGUGUUCGGGCCUGGAGCCUGGGGUCAGGAGCAGAGGACUUUGAAGCACAGGUGCGGAGCUAUGCAGCCAGAAUAAGGGAGGAGGCUUACACCCGGGAUCUGGCUGAUGGUGACAGUGAGACCAUCAGGUCGGAGAAGCUCUGGUGUGGUCACAGCCAUGUCCCCCUGCUCCGCCUGCCGACGGUCUUCCUGGAUCUCCUGUGGGAGGGCCCGGAGUCAGCACAGGCGAUGGGCCCCCUGGACGCACAGAGACACAGAUGGUGACAGGCCUACACAGAGAGACACCAGUGGGACACCAGGGGGCAGAGGCACCACAUCACAAGUCCCCGAGACCCUGGCCUCUGAGAGGGACCAUGCUCCACCCCAGUCCUGGCCCUAGGCCCAGAGACAGGGUCCUGAGCCCACAGGGAGAAACUACCAUGCAGAUCUCUGUGGAUCAGCCAAAGAGUGGCCGUCAAGUUGGUGCUCCCAGCCUCCACCCAGCCACUCACCUGGUACCUGCGCAGUAAGGCUUCGUUCUUCCUGCGCAGGGCCACUAUCCUCCGGUCCAGUUCUGCAUCCUUCUCCUCCUGCCUGCUCAUCGAGGACUCGGCUCGUUUGAUCAGAGAGAGAGAGGGAAAGUGAGAAAACAAGCCACGUCUGGGACUCGAACCGUGGUCAGCCACGUGGGAUUCUAGCACCUUUAACCACCAUGCCACCUGUUAGCCCAGCAUUGAUUUAGUUUAAGGAAUGCUGAGCAUACCACUCCUGGCAGGCCCAGCUGUUUGGGUUUCAAGCACUUGGCGUGGCUGGCCCUUUCAGACACUCUGACCCCGAGAAAGGAAGCAGCCUUGCUCAGGAAAGCUUCGCCCCAACUCUGCCUCACACAGCUGAGCUGGUCACCCUGCCCAGGAGGCAGCCUGCCCAGAAUCGCAUCGUAGAACCUCUGGAACCAAGGUUUGGGGUACUGGGAAAAGGGGUGGCCCUGACUGUAGGGCCUGAGGUAAGUGUCAGGAGCCCCUGUAUUCCCUAUAGCUCUGAUUGGUCGGCCUCCAUGUCUCCUCUAUCUCCAGAGCAGGAUGCCCCACAGCCUUCUCUCCUCCCCAGACCAGCCUAGGCAGCUAGAGGUGCAUCAUUGUUCCCCAUGAACUACCCAUCCUUCCCCACUGCUCAUCCCCUUCCCUGCCUAGCACCCCUGCUCCACGCCCCACCUCAGUCGUCCCAGAGUUCCCAUCCUGCUUGCAAAUGCCACUGCGUGCUCUCCCUUCCCUUCCUGCCGGAUGUUCCCACUGAGUCAGACCCGUCUACUUUCCCAGCACCGUGACGCACCAGGCUCCUCAUCCCGGCCUCUCACACAUGUUCACACACACACUGCUCCUUCUCCCACCCUCCCUGUGUGCUGCCCCCCACAGGCUGCUGAGUUCCAGCUCAGUCUGAGAAGGCUGCAGAAGCCUCCAGAAGCCUCUAGUUCCCCAUCGCCUGCCCUACUCGAUGUUGUUGGAGCUGGGAAGUCCUCCCUCUUUGGAACUCAGGCCCCCAGGUCAGGUCUGGAGACCAGUCUAAACAGGAGGCCGCAGGGAUGAGAGGCUCUCUGAGGGCAGGGCGGAGUACUAAGAGCCUCUGGAUCCCCAGGACCUGGCACAGUGGCCCCCGCACACUACAGAGCCUCUAUCAGCACCUGCAGAAGGAAUACGUGAUCCUGUGCAGAGGCUACACAGCGAGGGCGUGUGCUUCACCAAGCCGCCUGGAGAUGAAAUGAAAUAAUACCCAUAACAUCCUCACCUGGAACGUGUGACCCAGAGUAAGGGCCCAAAACAGCUUUCUCCUGGGCCAGCAGAUGAUGUAGCAGUACAUCUCUGGACUCCCACCUGGCCGGUCACGGUUCAAGUCCCAGGCCUGACAGCUUGAAACACGCCAGGCUCGUGUGCAUGCGUGCCCAAG